CUAUCUGAUAAAGUCAUUUCUCGCACAGUGAGAGGAGCAUUGGAUCAUCAGAGAUUCAUGUUCUGUAGUACCAGGAAGCAUAAGACCAAUCAGGUGCCGAUCUGAUCCAAUACAAUCACACAAGAGUCUUUAUUCACAAGUUCAAACUCGGGCUUAAGUCAUGCUGACACACAGGAUGGUUUCGGUGGAUAAAAGCCCCAAACACUCUUCAGGACAAGAUUUUAUAGGAAAUAUCAAGAGAAGGCUGCCAGAAUCUAGCACUUCAGAAACAAAGUACCAGAGAAACAAAUGGGCAGCAAACAUCAACUCUGAAAAACAUUGUAUCUGAUCUAUUCAGCUUGGAUAGUGAAUUUCUUUCCAUAAAUAGUUAAUAAGAUUAAAAUAUUUGGUGCACAAUUUAAAAAGAAAGGUCAUGGGGAGGAAUAUCCAGAGGAUGAUACU
Long non-coding RNA from Mus musculus (house mouse), 441 nucleotides. RefSeq annotates it as predicted gene, 33093. The transcript is spliced from 4 exons. Lineage: Eukaryota; Metazoa; Chordata; Mammalia; Rodentia; Muridae. The record is from RefSeq and is a predicted model, not a curated record.